Molecule: ribosomal RNA, 869 nt
Filed under: uncultured bacterium
Lineage: Bacteria
Description: bacterial SSU rRNA
Rfam family: Bacterial small subunit ribosomal RNA
Source: RNAcentral
UGCAGUNNNNNAAGUAGCAAUACUUAGUGGCAGACGGGUGAGUAACAUGUAGGUAUCUUCCCUUUGGUGAGGAAUAACACGAGGAAACUUGUGCUAAUACCUCAUAAGUCUUUACGGAGAAAGCUUUAUGCGCCAUUGGAUGAGCCUGCACUUGAUUAGUUUGUUGGUGGGGUAAUGGCUUACCAAGACAAUGAUCAAUAGCUGAUUUGAGAGGAUGAUCAGCCACAUUGGGACUGAGACACGGCCCAAACUCCUACGGGAAGCAGCAGUAGGGAAUCUUGCACAAUGGGGGAAACCCUGAUGCAGCGAUGCCGCGUGAGUGAAGAAGGCCUUUGGGUUGUAAAGCUCUUUCGUCGGGGAAGAAAAUGACUGUACCCGAAUAAGAAGGUCCGGCUAACUUCGUGCCAGCAGCCGCGGUAAUACGAAGGGACCUAGCGUAGUUCGGAAUUACUGGGCUUAAAGAGUUCGUAGGUGGUUAAAAAAGUUGGUGGUGAAAUCCCAGAGCUUAACUCUGGAACUGCCAUCAAAACUUUUUAGCUAGAGUAUGAUAGAGGAAAGCAGAAUUUCUAGUGUAGAGGUGAAAUUCGUAGAUAUUAGAAAGAAUACCAAUUGCGAAGGCAGCUUUCUGGAUCAUUACUGACGCUGANGAACGAAAGCAUGGGUAGCGAAGAGGAUUAGAUACCCUCGUAGUCCAUGCCGUAAACGAUGUGUGUUAGACGUUGGAAAUUUAUUUUCAGUGUCGCAGCGAAAGCAAUAAACACACCGCCNGGGGAGUACGACCGCAAGGUUAAAACUCAAAUGAAUUGANGGGNACCCGCACAAGUAGUGGAGCAUGUGGUUUNAUUCGAAGANNCNCNCAGAACCNUACC